Long non-coding RNA from Oncorhynchus nerka (sockeye salmon), 604 nucleotides. RefSeq lists it as uncharacterized. The record is from RefSeq and is a predicted model, not a curated record. NCBI's taxonomy places the organism in Eukaryota, Metazoa, Chordata, Actinopteri, Salmoniformes, Salmonidae. The transcript is spliced from 2 exons.
GCGGAUGUUGCUUUCCGCCCCGUGGUGAGCCAACAAUGUGCAGGAUUAAUCAAGCCAACCGGCUAUCCACUCAGGUUAAUUAGGGUGAAGGGAUAAUAAGGACCCCAUUAAAAAAGCAGGCAUCCACAGAGGACCCUUAAUCCACGCGCCGGUGUGUGUCUGCAAAACGUUGUUUGUUUGCGGCAGGACAAUGACCCAACACACCUCCAAGGGCUAUUUGACCAAGAAGGAGAGUGGAGUGCAGUAUCAGAUGACCUGGCCUCCACAAUCACCUGACCUCAACCCAAUUGAGAUGGUUUGGGAUGAGUUGGACUGCAGAGUGAAGGAAAAGCAGCCAACCAGGGCUCUGCAUAUGUGGGAACUCCUUCAAGACUGUUGGAAAAGCAUUCCAGCUGAAGCUGGUUUAGAGAAUUGUCAGAGAAUUGUCAUCCAGGCAAAGGGUCGCUACUUUGAAGAAUCUCAAAUAUAAAAUCUAUUUUUAAUUUGUUUUGACACUGGUUUGGUUAUUAUAUGAUUCCAUAUGUGUUAUUUCAUAGUUUUGAUGCCUUCCCUAUUAUUCUACAAUGUAGAAAAUAGUCAAAAUAAAGAAUAACCCUUGAAUGAG